UAUGUGAUCGUCUCUCGCAUAUCAAUAAGCGGAGGAAAAGAAACUAACAAGGAUUCCCCUAGUAACGGCGAGUGAAGCGGGAAGAGCUCAAAUUUGAAAUCUUAAAGGGUCUCCCUUUACGAAUUGUAGUUUAAAUGAAGUGUUUUCUGUUGAGGUUUUGGUAAAAGUUCUUUGGAAUAGGACAUCAUAGAGGGUGAGAAUCCCGUAUUUGACCUUUACUUUCAACUUCGUGAUACACUUUCAAAGAGUCGGAUUGUUUGGGAAUGCAGUCCAAAAUGGGUGGUAAAUUUCAUCUAAAGCUAAAUAUUGGCGAGAGACCGAUAGCGAACAAGUACCGUGAGGGAAAGAUGAAAAGAACUUUGAAAAGAGAGUUAAACAGUACGUGAAAUUGUCAAAAGGGAAGCGUUUGACACCAGUGUUGUUUUUCUGAAAAUCAAUUAAAGAACUGUUUAUGCUAAGCUGUUUAGACUUAUCAGCUAUCUGUUAAGUUUUGAGCUUUUCUUUAAUGCACUUUUCAGUUAACAAGUCAACAUCAAUUUCUUUUGCUGUAAAAAAGCUUGAGGAGGGUGGCUUGAGAUUCGUCUUAAGUGUUUAUAGCCUCUUGCCUAUGCAGUCGGAGAGAUUGAGGUCUGCAGCGUAGAUCCUUCGGGGCUAAAUGCAUUUGUGCUAAGUUAUAGCAUUUUAUAGACAACUUGUUGACUAUGAUUUGUCUUGUAGCUUACUCGCUUAUGUUAUUUUACCUACGCUUAGGAUGUUGAUCUGUAGUGCGUGCGC
RNAcentral lists this ribosomal RNA (774 nucleotides) under uncultured Neocallimastigales. RNAcentral's name for it is "partial large subunit ribosomal RNA". It matches the Rfam family "Eukaryotic large subunit ribosomal RNA", at positions 24 to 647 of the family's 3401-position model. The record is from RNAcentral. Lineage: Eukaryota; Fungi; Neocallimastigomycota; Neocallimastigomycetes; Neocallimastigales.